RNAcentral lists this ribosomal RNA (465 nucleotides) under uncultured Klebsiella sp. RNAcentral describes it as "bacterial SSU rRNA". It matches the Rfam family "Bacterial small subunit ribosomal RNA", at positions 338 to 795 of the family's 1533-position model. The record is from RNAcentral. Lineage: Bacteria; Pseudomonadati; Pseudomonadota; Gammaproteobacteria; Enterobacterales; Enterobacteriaceae.
CCUACGGGUGGCUGCAGUGGGGAAUAUUGCACAAUGGGCGCAAGCCUGAUGCAGCCAUGCCGCGUGUGUGAAGAAGGCCUUCGGGUUGUAAAACACUUUCAGCGGGGAGGAAGGCGUUAAGGUUAAUAACCUUGGCGAUUGACGUUACCCGCAGAAGAAGCACCGGCUAACUCCGUGCCAGCAGCCGCGGUAAUACGGAGGGUGCAAGCGUUAAUCGGAAUUACUGGGCGUAAAGCGCACGCAGGCGGUCUGUCAAGUCGGAUGUGAAAUCCCCGGGCUCAACCUGGGAACUGCAUUCGAAACUGGCAGGCUAGAGUCUUGUAGAGGGGGGUAGAAUUCCAGGUGUAGCGGUGAAAUGCGUAGAGAUCUGGAGGAAUACCGGUGGCGAAGGCGGCCCCCUGGACAAAGACUGACGCUCAGGUGCGAAAGCGUGGGGAGCAAACAGGAGUAGAUACCCUAGUAGUC